This is a non-coding RNA of Pimephales promelas (fathead minnow), 1917 nucleotides long. The record is from RefSeq and is a predicted model, not a curated record. NCBI's taxonomy places the organism in Eukaryota, Metazoa, Chordata, Actinopteri, Cypriniformes, Leuciscidae.
UACUGAUGAAGUCCAAGAUUGCCCUUCCACCGCCUGGCAAAUUUGAGAAGGAGGAUGUCUAUGCAGCUAAAAGGUGGCGAAGAGUCCAGUACCUCGUCGAACAGUUCUGGAGCCGGUGGAAAAGAGAAUAUCUCACGAACAUCUCCACACGCCAAAAGUGGCAUACGACUCGACGGAACCUUAAGGUGGAUGACUUGGUCAUUGUAAAGGAAGAUACCCCUAGAAAUCAGUGGCACCUGGGACGAGUGGUUGAAGCCACACAGGAGAGUGAUGGACUAGUGCGUCGUGUCAAGGUGUUAGUAGGAGAAAGGACGUCAGUGAAACAAGAUCGCCCUACCAAACCUUUGAUAAUAGAAAGGCCCAUUCAGAAACUAGUUCUCCUCCUCGAGAGUGAUUGAUCAGUCUUACUGUUUACACUGUUUAUCCCCUCGUGACGUAGGUUACUCUCAGAGCCAAGUAGUACUUAUCUGCACAUAUCUAGAAACACUGAUACAGAUUUAAGACUCGAGUAUGAGCCGUUCAGCCAGGUUGAUCCUUUUCUUCACUCUUCAUAACAUGAGUGGUGGGAGUGUAGUUGGCCAGUAUCAGUGUUUUAUUAUGAUUAUCCUGUUUUUUAUAUUCUAUUUUAUGAGACUUUUAUUUUGACAUGCUAUCUGUAGGGGGGACUAUAUUUUCUCUGUGUUCGCACACUCACGCGCUCACUCAUGAACGGUGUAAACGCGGGAAGUAAAGCUAAUUCACGAAGUUUGUCCAAGUUUAAGUUAAAUGGUGGCAGAAACCCCCCUGGAUCACUAUUAGCACCCUUUGAUAUGCGGAGCGAGUUUUCACGGUGUUGAUGCUAUGCACGCUUGUCGGAAUAAAAGUGCACCCGUAUGGAAACACUCCCAAGCCUGUUUAUUCCAAGUUGAAGGGCUGCUACAACGACAGUAACCUAUUGUUAUUGUGAGAUGGCGUAACGUGAAUUCAUGUAUGUUUAUUUAGCUACGAGGUUUUGAGCCAGCAUAAGGGAUGUUUGUAACACAUUUUUGCCUUCCUAUUCUUAGGAAGCAUUCUUAUAUGCGCUAUUCACAUAUAUUCUUACUGACUGUUCUAAGUCAUAUUUGAGGUGACAUGUUACAAAGUGCAUUGUGUUCAUGUUUAAACGGAGUGAUUUAGAGUUUGAGUUGUAUUGAUUUUGAAUGAUUAGUGAUGAAGCCAUAUACAGCUACUAAUUCGAUAUUUUGCAUUUGCUGUAUGCAGACUGGUUUUUUUGUGUGUGUGUGCAUAUUUUGCCACUGUUGAGAGAGAGAGAGAGAGAUUCUACGGCGAGCCAGCGAUCCUGCGAUUCAGCGAUUCAGUGAUUCUGGAGUGUGACCGUAACCAGUGGCCAUCAACUCACCAAGUGGAUGGACCGCACAUUUUCGGAUACGUCGUACAGAUAAGAUUGAAAGAGAUCUCCAACGUUAUCACACACUGCCGGUAGUGAUUUGAAACAAGGCCUUUUGACAAACCACAUUGGAACUGAAUUGAUUGGAACUGAAACUCAACUGAGUUGAACAUUGAACUAUUUGACUGGACUGAUUUUUUUUUUUCUUUUCUUUUAACUGACGGACUAUUUUGGGGAAAUUUGUUAUUAUUGUUUCUUUUGUGUGUUUCACAAUCCAUCUGGAAUGUUAAAAUAAAUGUUUUGAUACUGCGUUUGCUAUUCAAACAGAGGUCGUAGCCAAUUCAUUUCAAGAGCCGAACCUAAUUCUGGUUUCUAAUAACUUAAAUAUCACUAAAAUAGGUCACUGUGGUAUACUAAUUGAUGUUUUAAGUAACUCUUGUUACACAUGUACACACAUUUUUCUUCUGAUGCAGAUAUACUGUACACAUGCCUUCCAUUUGUUACAGGUAUUAUAUCAGUGUUGGUGUGAAAUUUGUGACGCAUGCUGUAGU